GUCUCAGUAGCAUAGUGGUUAGGUCACAGCACCGGAUAGUUUGAGACGCGGGUUCGAAUCCCGCCUGAGAUG
Molecule: transfer RNA, 72 nt
Filed under: Nippostrongylus brasiliensis
Lineage: Eukaryota; Metazoa; Nematoda; Chromadorea; Rhabditida; Heligmosomidae
Rfam family: tRNA
About the family: Transfer RNA (tRNA) molecules are approximately 80 nucleotides in length. Their secondary structure includes four short double-helical elements and three loops (D, anti-codon, and T loops). Further hydrogen bonds mediate the characteristic L-shaped molecular structure. tRNAs have two regions of fundamental functional importance: the anti-codon, which is responsible for specific mRNA codon recognition, and the 3' end, to which the tRNAs corresponding amino acid is attached (by aminoacyl-tRNA synthetases). tRNAs cope with the degeneracy of the genetic code in two manners: having more than one tRNA (with a specific anti-codon) for a particular amino acid; and 'wobble' base-pairing, i.e. permitting non-standard base-pairing at the 3rd anti-codon position.
Source: Rfam by way of RNAcentral